Molecule: long non-coding RNA, 1295 nt
Organism: Myotis myotis
Lineage: Eukaryota; Metazoa; Chordata; Mammalia; Chiroptera; Vespertilionidae
Exons: 3
Source: RefSeq, a predicted model, not a curated record
CCUGACACAGCCUGAGAGAGGAGUUGUCACUCGACCUUGGGGCACAUUCCAGAAUGAGGCCACAGCCAAAAAUAGGGCCCAGGAGCCUGCCACCUAUCCUGCCUGCAUUACUCACACCUCCCUGCAGGACUCUGCCUCCUUGGGGAGGUGGGAGGAGACAGAAUCAGGAAACGGAGUUGGGAAAAGGAGGGGACCCCAGUGAAGCUUCUGCAUGGCCUUGGGGUCGGACAGCACACCGCAGGCCCGGGCCCCAGGACCUGCCAGUGAAUUCGCCCAUCCUGAGCUCGGUGAGCUGGGCCCGCAGGCCUCCUGGCAGUGAUGCGGGCCUGAGGAACUGAGCCGCGUGCUCUGAGCGCCCUGGGGCUUGGGGACCGGGCCUCACCCUGAGGUCCCCUAGGGAGUCGCCGCUGGGCAGCCUGCCCUCCCGCCCCAUUUCGGUUUCCUCCACCUGCCUUGGUGCACCCGGCUGCCAUGAUGAGGCGAGGGGAUGAUGUACAAACCAGAACACCUGGGCUGCCUCUGCGGUCUUCAGAAAGUCACCUGACCCGCAGAGCUACAGGGAGCACCACCGUGAAGGAGGCUCGGAGUGCAAGGGGGGCCGAUGCCAGCUGGUCCCUCCACCACCCAGGAAGAAACGGAGGCCCCACAAUGAGCUUCACCGGUUUUGGAGGGGCGUGUGCAGAACGAAGGGCUGCGGAGGGACUGGGGGGCAGCGGCAGAGCUGACAGGGGCUCCCGAAUCCUUCACGUGGCGGCAGGUGGCUGGACCUGCACAGGAAGUCCAGAAACAAAAUCUCCAGCGAGCUGCCGCAUCUCACACAGCCUCCCUCCAGGCCCUGCAGCUCCCGAGGCCACCACCAGGUGGGAGCCUUGAGCAGCAUUCCUUCCCCUCCCCAGCCGGCCUCCCUCCUCCCUCCUCAUUCCUCCACCAGCCCCCUUCCCUGCCUGCUUUUCCUCUUCCUUCAUUUCUCCUCCUACCAAACCAGAUCCUGGGGUUUCUACUGCUCUAUUCCACGGAAGCCAGUGGCAGAUGAAAGCACCCUGUCAAUGGGAUCUGCUGCUGGUGGGACCCCCGGGAUCUGGACACUGCGUUCAGUCACCGUGAGUUCUCUGUGGUCCUAGCACCUGGCACCCAGUAAAUGUUCCGAAAAUGUCUGUUGCGUCGGCCUGAACCAAACUGGAUUAAUAAAUCAACAAUCAAUAACCAAUCAAUAAAGCCAAGGAGAUGAAACACGAGAAACGUGUGUUCUGCUGGUGGCCUCAGAGACCGCAGGGCCAACCUGACCGACGCGCAGG